UACAGAGGUCCCGAGCGUUGUUCGGAUUCACUGGGCGUAAAGGGUGCGCAGGUGGGUUUGCAAGUUUGAUGUGAAAGCCCCGGGCUUAACCCGGGAAUGGCAUUGAAUACUGCAGAUCUGGAGGAUUGGAGGGGGGACUGGAAUUCUUGGUGUAGCAGUGAAAUGCGUAGAUAUCAAGAGGAACACCAGUGGCGAAGGCGAGUCCCUGGACAAUACCUGACACUGAGGCACGAAAGCCGGGGGAGCAAACAGG
This 253-nucleotide ribosomal RNA is filed under the name uncultured bacterium. RNAcentral's name for it is "partial 16S ribosomal RNA". It matches the Rfam family "Bacterial small subunit ribosomal RNA", at positions 524 to 776 of the family's 1533-position model. The record is from RNAcentral.